This is a non-coding RNA of Pelobates cultripes (western spadefoot toad), 1396 nucleotides long. The record is from the annotation of a GenBank genome assembly. Lineage: Eukaryota; Metazoa; Chordata; Amphibia; Anura; Pelobatidae.
AUAGACCCUAUACCUGGCGUAUAAGACGACCCCCGACUUUGGAGAAGAUUUUCCAGGGUUAAAAAGUCAUCUUAUACGCCAGAAAAUACAGUAAAUCCAAGCCCAAAGAGUAAUUCUUUCCAUUCUGUUAAAAUUAGACCCUGGGCAACACACGGGUCAGGAAAACCCCAAUUUCAAAAUAGAAUCUUUAGAAAGAAAGUGCUCUGCUUAACACCAAUCCAAGUAACAGGAUUCUAAAAACCAUGCACUUUAAAUCACAGGACUCUUGCAUGCCCAGUGGUGUGGAAUGCACACCACACAUGCACCUGAGAGAUUGCAUCAUUGCGGACGCUACCAUUCAUUCUCAGAAAAACAUACAUGAAGACACCGUUGCAGUAGGCAUUUACAAACCCGCCUGUAACUAUACCAGACUCCUUGCCGCUGCAGACACUUUAAAUUCUAUGCUAAUAGUGGCACAGUGAAGCCGAAUGCAGGGUAAAAAAAAUAAAAAAAUAAAAGAAUUUUCUGCAUUUAAAACUAAAAUCCUGCAGAUAUAUAAAUUCAUGUAGAAUAUAACAAAGGCAUUUGGAGGCACUAGAUGCCUAAAAACUAACUAGUUAUAUAAUGCUUAAAUGCACUCACAUAAUACAGAAAUCCAAUGACAGGAUUAUCACAUCCUAAAAAGCACUCAAGGUAUUAUUACUUGGCUUUUGUGGGUGAGGUCUAUACAAGAAUUGUAUGAUUGCACACAGGAAUAAUAAAAUCUAGUCAACUGUUGCCAGGCAGGUAGUCCUCUGCUGGUCUCCAUGUUGACUCCAAUGCACAAUUAUACUUACAGUAAGUCGUCAUUUGGUAAUCAAAACAGCACUAACAUAUACUGUUGCACUAUACAAUAGAGCACAUACAAGUAAAAACAAAAAACAUGUAGUGAUACAAAAGGAGCUUACAUUCUUGCAAAUACAAAGCUGAUCAAGAUAACUUGUGAGCCUACAAUCUAAAGGUGAUAAUGGGGGGUUAAAGUGAGGUUGCAGGAGUGUUGUGAAGUUGAUGAGACUCAGAUCUGUUGAAUAAAAAAACCCAAAAAGAAACAGACUGAUUUCCAGAACUAAGCUAGCAGUCUAUGGGGCGCGGGGGGGGGAAGAGGUUCAUUUACAGACCAUGGUUUAUCUGCUUUGCCAAGAUUCCCCUUUUCUGUAAAUCAUUAUGUACGGGGAAUCUAUGUAUUAAAGCAUAUCCCUCUUUUAUAUUUAAAUUAAUUUAAGUAAUGGUCACUUCUCUUUGAAUAGUUUAAAACCCUUCUGAAAAGAUACAUUUUAAAUGUUCACUGCUUUAAAAAAUACAAAAUAAAGUUGGCACAGCUUCUGCAUUCUCAUGAAAGAACGAAGAGUGGAUCAGUAUGUCACACUGAUGAUACUCG